UGCAUUCACUACUGUAAGUCGCUCUGGAUAAGAACAUCUGCUAGAUGACUAAAA
Non-coding RNA from Salmo salar (Atlantic salmon), 54 nucleotides. The record is from Rfam. NCBI's taxonomy places the organism in Eukaryota, Metazoa, Chordata, Actinopteri, Salmoniformes, Salmonidae.